Molecule: ribosomal RNA, 406 nt
Filed under: uncultured bacterium
Lineage: Bacteria
Description: partial 16S ribosomal RNA
Rfam family: Bacterial small subunit ribosomal RNA
Source: RNAcentral
AUUGAACGCUGGCGGCAGGCCUAACACAUGCAAGUCGGGCGAGCGGCGGACGGGUGAGUAAUGUAUGGGAAUCUGCCUGAUGGAGGGGGAUAACUACUGGCAACGGUAGCUAAUACCGCAUACCAUCAGAUGCACCCAGAUGGGAUUGGCUAGUAGGUAGGGUAACGGCGUACCUAGGCGACGAUCCCUAGCUGGUCUGAGAGGAUGACCAGCCACGCUGGGACGUAGACACGGUCCAGACUCCUACGGGAGGCAGCAGUGGGGAAUAUUGCGCAAUGGGUGCAACCCUGGCGCAGCCAAGCCGCGUGAAGGAAGAAGGCCUGCGGGUUGUAAAGUUCUUUCGGUAGGGAGGCGUUACCCACAGAAGAAGCACCGGCUAACUCCGUGCCAGGAGCCGCGGUAAUUC